UAACGUUUGCAGCUGUGAAAGUUAUUGAUAUCGUAUCUUACCGCGGUAAACAAAAGAACCUUCAUCUUGGAACAAUUCUAACAAACGGAACAUUAUUGUAGCACUAGUUAAUAUACCUUUUUGCACUAAUCAUUUCUUUUUGUGAAAUUCCAUUGCUCUUUGACCUAACAUCAAUCAAACGUGUAAGAAAAUCAAAUGGCCUUGUUUUCUGUCCUACAUCACACAAUAGAUACUAGCUUAGAUGGUACAGUGUGUAGUUAGCUGUAUCGUUGGAUAUGCAGGUGACGGUGAGCAACCGGUGCUUUUAGCUUUCCUCGGUACUAACUGUGACAUUCUAGGCCAACUAAGG
RNAcentral lists this long non-coding RNA (349 nucleotides) under Setaria viridis. RNAcentral's name for it is "long non-coding RNA (SVIR_LNC003371)". The record is from RNAcentral. Lineage: Eukaryota; Viridiplantae; Streptophyta; Magnoliopsida; Poales; Poaceae.